This 253-nucleotide ribosomal RNA is filed under the name uncultured bacterium. RNAcentral's name for it is "partial 16S ribosomal RNA". It matches the Rfam family "Bacterial small subunit ribosomal RNA", at positions 524 to 776 of the family's 1533-position model. The record is from RNAcentral.
UACAGAGGUCUCAAGCGUUGUUCGGAUUCAUUGGGCGUAAAGGGUGCGUAGGUGGCGAGGUAAGUCAGGUGUGAAAUCUCGGAGCUCAACUCCGAAACUGCACUUGAUACUGCCCUGCUCGAGUACUGGAGAGGAGAUUGGAAUUUACGGUGUAGCAGUGAAAUGCGUAGAUAUCGUAAGGAAGACCAGUGGCGAAGGCGAAUCUCUGGACAGUUACUGACACUGAGGCACGAAGGCCAGGGGAGCAAACGGG